AAGGCUGAGGCGUGAUGACGAGGCACUACGGUGCUGAAGCAACAAAUGCCCUGCUUCCAGGAAAAGCCUCUAAGCAUCAGGUAACAUCAAAUCGUACCCCAAACCGACACAGGUGGUCAGGUAGAGAAUACCAAGGCGCUUGAGAGAACUCGGGUGAAGGAACUAGGCAAAAUGGUGCCGUAACUUCGGGAGAAGGCACGCUGAUAUGUAGGUGAAGCGACUUGCUCGUGGAGCUGAAAUCAGUCGAAGAUACCAGCUGGCUGCAACUGUUUAUUAAAAACACAGCACUGUGCAAACACGAAAGUGGACGUAUACGGUGUGACGCCUGCCCGGUGCCGGAAGGUUAAUUGAUGGGGU
Molecule: ribosomal RNA, 357 nt
Filed under: Escherichia coli
Lineage: Bacteria; Pseudomonadati; Pseudomonadota; Gammaproteobacteria; Enterobacterales; Enterobacteriaceae
Description: partial 23S ribosomal RNA
Rfam family: Bacterial large subunit ribosomal RNA
Source: RNAcentral